GAGCUGUCCAAAACACAAAGAAUGCACCCUCACUCACACAAAACGCAUGCUUUAUGACCAAGACAUAUUUUGGCCAAAACUCUCAAUUCUGCCCUCCAACAGCUCUAAGCUUGUAAUGACUACUCUAUCCUCUUCCUAAUGCUCUAUAUAACAAGCUCACCCUCUUUAUAUUAGUCCACACACUCCUCAAUCUAGCAAAACCCAGAUAUAAAAGUUUCUUCUCUUCUUCAAGUUUUCAUUCAAGCAACAAAUUUCUCUUGAUACAGUCCCCAUAUCUCAACAUUUUCUCUUCAUUUGGAGCUUAAGGAUCAAGCUCAAUUGGGUUUCUUAUUGCUGUAGCUUGAGGACUUAGUGAAUUUAGUUUUCACUCAAGAUCUCAUUCUAAAUAUCUCUCAUUUUAUCUUCUUUCAACUCAUUACAGACUCUACGUUACAGAAAAUCGCAUUUGAGGAGCUUGUUAUUUUGGUCAUUGGAAUCUCGUUUCGGAAGCAAACUUUUUAGGAGCCCUUGAUGAUUGCAAUUGCAAUUCUGGAAUAUCAAGUUUAUUUUAAAAUCUGAAUUUUUGAAACUUGGUGUUUCUUGUGUUAAUCGAUUUAUGAAAAAUCUGUUUAGAUUUACUCAAAUUUUCUCUCGCUUGUGCUCAUGUACACAAUUGGUCACCGCCGUAUCUCAGCACUCUAGCUUGUGUAUUCAUCACCUAAGUCGUCUUUCACCAGUUACACAUAUCACCAAAGUUCAUUGGAUGUCCUUUCUUCUUUCAUACAAAUGAGCCACAACAAGAUUUAUAAUAAGGAGGAGAAAGAAAAUUUUUGUCAGCACUUAAGGAUUCAGAACUAAACGUCUAAGGAACCAGUCAUAUGAUUAGAAGCUCCAGAAUCAAUAAACCAAGGUUGAGCAACAACAUUUGCAGAAUGAGCGACAACAUUAGACUUACCUUGAAUUCCCAAGGAAGAAAGAGCAGACAAUACCAUUUGUUGGACAUCUUGUGCAGUCAAAACAGUAGCCGCUGAAGCUGUAGGAGCGGAAGAUUGAGCCACUGAAGGAGUAGCAACAUGAAAUGCUUGUACCAAUUUCUUCUCGGGUCUAGUCGGGCACUCUUUGAUGAUGUGACCGUGUUGCUUGCAAUAGUUUCAAAAUUUCUUAUUGCAGUUACGCGCAAUAUGACCAAACUGUUUGCAGGAAAAACAUUGAACUUGUCCCAUAGGACGACCUUUCCCUUUAAUCUGGGCAGAAUAGGCAACAGAAACAGCAUCAGUAGUGAAGUUGUCAUGUGACAUGGCCCUUUGAGUCAAUAGAGACGCUGCUCCUCGCGAAGAAGUUCGCCAAGACACAUGUCUAGAGUAGGAAAUGGACUUCGAUUCAGCAAAGAUGCACGCACUGCUUCAAAUUCAGGUUGAAGUUUCAUAAGAAAUUGAUCUCACUUGCUAACCUCGUAAACUUUUUGAACAGCAGGGAGCGAGUCAGCAGAAACAUUGGCAUGUAAAAUAGCCGAAUGUUCAACCCACAGAUUAAGAAAUCUUGAAUAAUAGUCUUGAAUCGAAAGAUUUCCUUGACAGUAAUUUGCAAUGUCGAGCUCCAACUGAAACCUUUUAGCGGCAUUAUCUUGAUUGUAAACACGCUUUAGAUAGUCCUACAUUUCCUUAGCAGUAGAAAAGGAACGCAAAUUGUUAAUCAUUUAAGGGCCAAUCGAAGCUAGAAUCCAAGUUAUGAUCUGAGCAUCCUUCGUUUGCCAUGCUGCCAGAGCAGCAGCGUCACUAGGUGCAGAGGAGGUGCCAUCUAUAUGGCCCCACAAGCCUUUACCUUUCACAAACAUCUUGAAUUAGAACUCCCACGCUGCAUAAUUUUUGCCAUUAAAAUGAACACAAGAAAUCUCCUUUUCUUUUUCUGUCAACAUGAUGAAUAACACAAUAAACCAAAAAAAAAAACAGACCGACU
Vicia villosa (hairy vetch) is the source of this 1935-nucleotide long non-coding RNA. RefSeq lists it as uncharacterized. NCBI's taxonomy places the organism in Eukaryota, Viridiplantae, Streptophyta, Magnoliopsida, Fabales, Fabaceae. The record is from RefSeq and is a predicted model, not a curated record. The transcript has 3 exons.